GUAAGGUCAGAGGCUUGACUCCUCCUCGCCCUAGUCUGCUCCAAUCACCCUGGCUUCCUCGCAGCUCUAGAACACUCCUGGCAGGGAAGACCCCCAGGGACUGUGUGCACCUGCUGUUCCCUCCACGGGGACCCCUCACCCCCGCACCACGGCCUGGGGUCUAGCAUCUCCCUGAAAGGUUGCCUUCUCUCUGAGCCAUCCCUGACCGCCAUCCCACGCUCCUUCAGCCCCUUUGUUGCUAUGCUCAUCUGCUCAUCUCCGUCAUGUACCACAUCUAACAUCCGGCCACUAUUCCAUAGCUGCGUAUUCAUUGUCUCUUUCAUCCCCUUGGAAUGGAAGCAGCAUAAGGGCGGGGGUAUUGCCUGUUUGGGUCAUGGCUGCGCCUCCCUGGCCUGGCACAGACCAGGAACCCAGCAAAUGCCCAGUCCUCCAGCCUAGGGUUUCCUUUCUUCCCGACCUUCACCCUGAGGGGUGCACACGCCACCACAACGCCUUCUUGACCACCUGUCUCUGCCGAGGCUGCCCCUCCACCCUCUGAUGAAAGAAGGGGACCAGGAAACUCAGCCUCCAGGUAUUCUGGGUGCGCCCCAGCCCGCAAAGCCUGAUCUGAAACAGGCACCCUGUUUCAACUUCCCGUUUCUUCAGCCCAGAAAUGGGUUUCCUUCCCCAUCACGCAUGCAUUUGGCGGUUGUUUCAGCCCAAGCUCCAGAUGGAGGAUACCCCACCCUUGCAGGACUGGGAGAACUCCUUCCAUCCCGUGGAAGAAUGACAGAUGCCAAACCCUGGAGUUUGCUACAAAGACCUUGGUGUCUUCCUUGCCUGUUUUGACACCAUUUUUUUUUUUUUUUUUUUUUUUUUUACUACCAGAAUUGAAUUAUUCCUCUCAGGAAAUAUUUAAGUCUAAUACUGUCUGGCUUCUGUGUUUUCGCCAGGCAUGAAGGGUAGGAAGAGCGUUCACUAUGGGCUUUCAGUGGGGGAUGGGAAGGAGAAUGGGGGUGGGGGGAGAGAAAUCAUUCAGAUUCAUCAAGGUUCCCCUGGGCCUGGCUGGCUUCAAAACCUUUUUACUGGCUCCAGAGCAGUCGUUGACAACAUUUACGCCACCCACGGUUAUACAUACAUUAGUUUUAUUUCAUGUUCGCCUUCUGACUAAGGCAUAAAAAAGUUCAAAUGACUUAUCCAGAAUCAUAUAGUGUCAAAGGACAGAACUGAAAAGCAAAUUAUAGCCUCAUGGAAAGGAAUAGAAAGAGAGGUCAGUAUAAACGACUCAUUUGCGAGAAGGAGCUUUUAAAAUGACAAGGAUCUCUCUCUCUCUCUCUCUCUGACUCUUUACACAUAAAAUGACAGGCAUCCAACUUAGAAAAAAAAGGUAGGUAAUCCAGAUUAUUUUUCAAAAAAUUAAAACUAGCUACUCUUUAGCUACUCUGUAACCCUUCUACAAUGCACAUCCUCGUCCCCCUCCUAAAAUAUAUUAACUAUUCUUGAUGAUUCAAGAUAAAUGUCCUGGAGUUCCAUUGUAGCCCAGCAGUGACGAACUCAAUUAGUAUCCAUGAGGACGCGGGUUCGAUCCCUGGCCUCGAUCAGUGGGUUAAGGAUCUGGUGUUGCCGUGAGCUGUGACGUAGGUCACAGAUGUGGCUCAGAUACCGUGUUGCUGUGGCUGUGGUGUAGGCCGGCAGCUACAGCUCUGAUUGGACCCCUUAAUAGGCAAAAAAAAAAAGAUAGGUCAGUUAUUGAAUUGGAUUGUUAAUGGAUGGAUGCUUUCAGAGGAUACUGAUGAGAACAAGGCUAUUGGUCUCUAUACUAAAUAUCCUCAAAGUGAUGUGUACCACUGGUUCAGUACACUCCGUGAGGGCAUGAAUUUUUUUUUUUUUCCUUUUUUUUUUUUUUGCUUUUUCUUUGGGCCGCUCCCAGGGCAUAUGGAGGUUCCCAGGCUAGGGGUCGAAUCGGAGCUGUAGAUGCCGGCCUACGCCAGAGCCAUAGCAACGCAGGAUCCAAGCUGCGUCUGCAACCUACACCACAGCUCACGGCAACGCCGGAUCGUUAACCCACUGAGCAAGGGCAGGGACCGAACCCGCAACCUCAUGGUUCCUAGUCGGAUUCGUUAACCACUGCGCCACGACGGGAACUCCGAGGACAUGAAUUUUUAUCUCUUUUGCUCAAAAAUGUAGUUCAAGCACCUAGACCAGUACCUGGCACAUGGUAGUUGCUUAAUAAACAUGUGUUUAAAGAUCA
Molecule: long non-coding RNA, 2230 nt
Filed under: Sus scrofa (pig)
Lineage: Eukaryota; Metazoa; Chordata; Mammalia; Artiodactyla; Suidae
Description: lncRNA (ENSSSCG00035079375.1)
Source: RNAcentral